UUUUUCCUACUCCGCCCAUACC
Molecule: microRNA, 22 nt
Filed under: Arabidopsis thaliana (thale cress)
Lineage: Eukaryota; Viridiplantae; Streptophyta; Magnoliopsida; Brassicales; Brassicaceae
Also listed under: 1 other name
Description: ath-miR472-3p
Gene: ath-miR472-3p
Source: miRBase by way of RNAcentral